UACGUAGGUGGCAAGCGUUGUCCGGAUUUACUGGGCGUAAAGAGCGCGCAGGCGGUCGUUCAAGUCGCGUGUGAAAGCCCCCGGCUCAACUGGGGAGGGUCACGCGAUACUGAUCGACUCGAAGGCAGGAGAGGGAAGUGGAAUUCCCGGUGUAGUGGUGAAAUGCGUAGAUAUCGGGAGGAACACCAGUGGCGAAGGCGACUUCCUGGCCUGUUCUUGACGCUGAGGCGCGAAAGCUAGGGGAGCAAAGCGGGG
Molecule: ribosomal RNA, 255 nt
Filed under: uncultured bacterium
Lineage: Bacteria
Description: partial 16S ribosomal RNA
Rfam family: Bacterial small subunit ribosomal RNA
Source: RNAcentral